Long non-coding RNA from Ipomoea triloba (trilobed morning glory), 2004 nucleotides. RefSeq lists it as uncharacterized. The record is from RefSeq and is a predicted model, not a curated record. Lineage: Eukaryota; Viridiplantae; Streptophyta; Magnoliopsida; Solanales; Convolvulaceae. The transcript has 3 exons.
GAACACAAAUUUCUUAUCUCCCCUUCUCUCUCUCUCACUCUCAACUUUUCAAGUUUCAAUCCGCCGCGAAGUUGCUUAUGCCGAUGCUGCGGAGGAGAUCUAGGCCGAUCGGGAAAGGUGCACAAGGUUAGAAGAGAGCACAGCCCUAGCUUUAGGGCAAUCGGACUUAACCCUAAGUCUCUCCAAAGAAAGGGCUCCUGUUGUGUUUUGGAAGAAGAUGAUGUGAUGGGGUUUGAUAGAGGGGCAAAAACCAUAAAGGAUUGUUGUGAACUCACUUUUGGAUGUCUGCUUCAAGGGCAAAUAUUAAUCAACAUCUUGAGAGUUACAUUACCAAGAAGAACAAAGAAUAUCAUGAUGUGUUUGAAUAGCACAAAUAGCUAAUAAAGGAGGCUUCAAAGGUUGGAAGUAUUUUGUUGUUGUGGAUGAUGGGUAGACCAAUCAAGACAAUAAUUACUUGAAAUUUGUUUUCUCCAACAAAAUGGGAAGCAAUAGAGUCCUCUUCACAACUUAGGAUGGGCAUUCAGCUAUAUGCAGAUACUUAUCGUAAACUGCACCCUUCAAAAUUUUUAAGAAAUAAGGAAAGUUGGAAGUUACUGAAGAGGAAAGGUUUUAUCAAAGAAAGUUGUUGUAUUGAGCUUGAAAAGGACGGGGAAUACAUUGCUAUAAAAUGCGGUGGACUACCACUUGCAGAAGUAGCCAUUGUUGGUGUCUUAGUCCAAUACACUAGCAACAACCACUAUUGCAAGUGGCAGUCCAUUGCACUUUAUAGCUAUAUGUUUAUGGCCUCUUUUAGUUCAAAAGGGCAACUCCCCUUGAGAAAAACCUUCUUCUAGUAGCUCCCAACUUUCAUCAUUUCUUUAAAAAUUUAAAGAGUGCGGCUUACAAGCAGAAUCUGCAUAUAUAGCUACAUUCUCAUGCCUAGUUAUUAAGAGAUUCUACUCCCUCUCAUGUUAUUGAGAAAAGCAAUUUUCAAAUAUUUCUAGUCUUGUCGUCCACACAUCAUCUGGGACAAUGAAAUGCUUACCACCCUCUAAAAGUUCCUUUAUUUUAGUCGUUAAAUGCUCUUCAGGCAUAUCAUGGUACUUCAUUUUCUUCCUUACUUUAGCACUCUCAAGCAGCCCGACAUCAUGCGUGGAGUUUGCACUCUCUUUUUGAACCAUCGUGCAAAAUAACCUUUUGGAGUCAAUCAGGGUAAUAUUUUCCUUAUUGGCAGAGUCAACUCUUGUGUGACAGGUUGUUCAGGUUUGUUCUUUCACGCAUUUGAAUUUUAUGAUUUCAUUCUGAUGUUUUGUAUAGUCCAGUGACUGUACCAGACCUGAUACUUUGACCACAUGUUAGCAUGCUUAAACAAUUGGGUGGUGCGUUCUACCUAUGACCAAUGUCAUUGUUUUUUUGACCAAUGUCAUUGUUAUUUCAAAGAAACUGGAAGAUAUUAACAAGCUUUGUGCAACAUCACUGAAAUUGAAUGCUAUGAGCAUUAAGCUCUCCCCUAAACAAGUUUGCGGUCACAUGUUCUGCGAGUUAACAUAAUUUCUAGUACAGCCAUUUUUGCAUUCCAUGAAAUAUUUUAAUGUUGGUUAACCCUCUACACAUUGCAUAUUUGCAUAUAUGUGAAAGAUCUAUUACAAGUUUACAACAUUUUUGGUUGGGAAUAGAAUAACUUUUCUCUAUUUUAUGUCAAGUGUAUCUUUUACAUUUGAUUUAUAAGUUGUAAUGCUAAAUAAUGUUUUGGCAUUUCCUUUACCAUUACCAAUUCUUGUAUCUCAAGCUUUGUUACCUAGCAUUAAAUCCACUAUUAUGCCACCUGAAAGGAAUUCAGUCAGGGAAGCUUGAAGCUGCAGCAAUCAACACAUUUUUGCAAGGAAAAAUAUAUUGAUGACCACCACACAAAUUAUUUCUUUGAUAUCACUUGUACUUAAGUCUGUGAUGUAAAUGCCUACUUACAUAUUGCCACUAUGAAUUCUUGUUUUAAUAGGCAAAAUUGUUGUCUUCAUUUCUUCUCUA